Molecule: ribosomal RNA, 428 nt
Filed under: uncultured prokaryote
Description: bacterial SSU rRNA
Rfam family: Bacterial small subunit ribosomal RNA
Source: RNAcentral
UGAGGAAUAUUGCGCAAUGGACGAAAGUCUGACGGAGCAACGCCGCGUGAGUGAUGAAGGUUUUCGGAUCGUAAAGCUCUGUUGUUAGGGAAGAACAAGUACCGUUCGAAUAGGGCGGCACCUUGACGGUACCUAACCAGAAAGCCACGGCUAACUACGUGCCAGCAGCCGCGGUAAUACGUAGGUGGCAAGCGUUGCCCGGAAUUAUUGGGCGUAAAGGGCUCGCAGGCGGUUUCUUAAGUCUGAUGUGAAAGCCCCCGGCUCAACCGGGGAGGGUCAUUGGAAACUGGGGAACUUGGGUGCAGAAGAGGAGAGUGGAAUUCCACGUGUAGCGGUGAAAUGCGUAGAGAUGUGGAGGAACACCAGUGGCGAAGGCGACUCUCUGGUCUGUAACUGACGCUGAGGAGCGAAAGCGUGGGGAGCGAACA